CUCCGUGCUUGGUAGUCCAGUGCGUCGUGUGAAUAUUGGCAUUGUCUCUGUGCGAUGCGUCGUCUGGUGGAAAAAAAUCGAACUAAUGGAACCAUUGUGCCUUGUUUUUUCGGGUGUGAAUGAUAGAACGGGAACAUAUGAGGUGUAAAAUUCCGUGAGCGCAGAAUUUCAAGAAAAGAAAAAUGCCCGAGAGUUACGACGCAAAUCAAAAGAAUCAAGCGUCUGAGACACCGUAAUUACCGAUCAGUAGAACCUGCUUCAAAUCGAAGCUUUACAAUCGGCGUAAGGAUUAGAGAAAAAAGAGAAGAUUGAUGAUCAAAGUGAUUGGAAUCCUCUACUUCGCUUUUCAGUAUUCGACUUCAGGAUUUAAAACAAGCGUUUUCAUUUCAGCGACAAUCGUGACGAAGGAAAAAAUAUACCCUUUGCGUCGCGUGUCGAAAAUGUUAACUUUCGGUUGCGAGGUCAAUUUGCGUAACAAAGAAUUGUUGUUACUCGCUAAUUGCAAAUCCUGUGAAAUGAGCAGACUUGCCUAUAAUAUGAUUUCUUUUUCAUCUUUCCGUCACGCUGCGACAAUAUUAAGUGAGGAAAAAACUUUAAGCAUUGUUUGUACGAUGGAAAAAAAUAUUUGUCGAUUAUUUUUUUUCUAACAUUAUCGAGAUGCGAACAAAUUCGCAUAAUCGACUUAUCUAAAAUUUUCGCAAUUCAAGUAACGAGUCCGGAGCAUUUUUCAACCGAUUAUCGCAAUCGGUGCAGAUAAAAUAAAACUCACAGCGAUUAUUCGAGAUUCGUAAAUGCGGUGACUGAAAUGAUAAUUUGGCUACAUGUUUCCUCGACUUGAAAACAAGAAGAAUAAUUCCACGAGAACUUCUGUCACGCACAACUGUGCACACAUUGCUCAUUACUGAUUGUGAAUACAAGCAGUUGGGUCUUAUUAACCGUUUUUAACUCGCCUUAAUGACGGAAACUUUCCAAGUUAAUUAGAUGAAAAGUGUUACAAGUAAUAAUAAAAUGUCAACACUGCGUAGAGCAGUAUACACUGUUUUAAUUUUUGACGAUUUUCUAGCUCUACUGCAUUGAACCAGAAACUAAUUUUCACCACUCGAAGUAACUUCGAAGUUCUCUCGAGGAAAAGGUUUAUUCCAUUUUCUAUGUUAUUGCAAUUUUUGCGUUUCUUAGAAAAAUCUUUGAUGAAUCGAUUCCAUUAGAUUUGCAAAUACGAGACACGAAAUUAAGGAGACGAUCGGUUGAUUCAAUUCAAAUUUGUUUCCAUCAAACAAACCAAAU
Neodiprion fabricii is the source of this 1284-nucleotide long non-coding RNA. RefSeq lists it as uncharacterized. The record is from RefSeq and is a predicted model, not a curated record. The transcript has 3 exons. NCBI's taxonomy places the organism in Eukaryota, Metazoa, Arthropoda, Insecta, Hymenoptera, Diprionidae.